AUGCUGAGAAAUUUCUGGGCAGCCCUGAGUGAUCCAGGAGAUGUACUUACUCUGUUUCUACCACAGCUCCAGUUUUCUUUUGAUUCCCAUAAUAGGAAACCUGGCAAUGAUGUUUAUCUCCUGAACAAGAUGCAGCACGUGCUGGUUCAAAGAGACCAGUGUGCCUCAAGAUUAUCAUUUACGCAGUGGAUGAAGAUGGCUAUAAAAAACUUUGUUACUUCAGGGGCAAGUCAGCAUGAGGAAUGAAUGAAUGCAUG
RNAcentral lists this long non-coding RNA (257 nucleotides) under Calidris pugnax (ruff). RNAcentral describes it as "lncRNA (ENSCPUG00000012587.1)". Lineage: Eukaryota; Metazoa; Chordata; Aves; Charadriiformes; Scolopacidae. The record is from RNAcentral.